This 66-nucleotide transfer RNA is filed under the name Scolytinae sp. BMNH 1043031. RNAcentral describes it as "tRNA-Glu". The record is from RNAcentral. Lineage: Eukaryota; Metazoa; Arthropoda; Insecta; Coleoptera; Curculionidae.
GUUUAUAUAGUUUAAUAAAAACUUAGUGCUUUCACAGCUAAAAUAGAAAUAUUUUUCUUAUAAAUA